This 198-nucleotide microRNA precursor is filed under the name Oryza glumipatula. RNAcentral's name for it is "MIR812 microRNA precursor family". It matches the Rfam family "MIR812 microRNA precursor family". The record is from Rfam by way of RNAcentral. Lineage: Eukaryota; Viridiplantae; Streptophyta; Magnoliopsida; Poales; Poaceae.
CAAAAGAAAAACAAACUCGUUUUCCGUAUCCAACAUUUGAUUAUCCGUCUUAUAUGAAAUUUUUUAUAAUUAGUAUUUUUAUUGUUGUUAGAUGAUAAACCAUGAUUAAUACUUUAUGCGUGACUCGUCUUUUUAAUUUUUUCAUAAUUUUUUCAAAUAAGACGGACGGUCAAACGUUGGACACGGAAACCCAGGGUU